RNAcentral lists this long non-coding RNA (307 nucleotides) under Elaeis guineensis (African oil palm). RNAcentral describes it as "long non-coding RNA (EGUI_LNC075406)". The record is from RNAcentral. Lineage: Eukaryota; Viridiplantae; Streptophyta; Magnoliopsida; Arecales; Arecaceae.
GGUCCUCGGCCCCCGGUGGAAUGAUGCCGCUGAGGUCUAGCUCCGGGUACAGAGCUUGGACUGCGUCCUGACCAUCCUCAUACCCCACUCGGUAUGAUGCAAAGCCAGACUCCAGCAGCUCCUCUCGAUAUCGAUCGGAGCCACGGAAGUCGUCCACCCCCGACUCACUAACUCCUUCGCCGACCUCGCCUCUGCUUCCACCCGAUCGAGAGAGUCCUUCGCCGACUCCGCCUCUGCCUUCGCUAUGUCGGCAUCGGUCUGGGCAAUCGACAAAUCCUCCUCAGCCUUGGCGAGAUUCUCCAGGCUG